This 459-nucleotide ribosomal RNA is filed under the name uncultured bacterium. RNAcentral's name for it is "partial 16S ribosomal RNA". It matches the Rfam family "Bacterial small subunit ribosomal RNA", at positions 338 to 795 of the family's 1533-position model. The record is from RNAcentral.
CCUACGGGGGGCUGCAGUGAGGAAUAUUGGUCAAUGGUCGCGAGGCUGAACCAGCCAAGUAGCGUGAAGGAAGACGGCCCUAUGGGUUGUAAACUUCUUUUAUGCGGGAGUAAAAUGAAUCACGUGUGAUUCUUUGUAAGUACCCCAUGAAUAAGCACCGGCUAAUUCCGUGCCAGCAGCCGCGGUAAUACGGAGGAUGCGGGCGUUAUCCGGAUUUAUUGGGUUUAAAGGGUGCGCAGGCGGAGGUGCAAGCGGGCGGUAAAAUUCCGGGGCUCAACCUCGUACUGCCGUGGAAACUGGGUCGCUUGAGUGCGCGAGAAGUAUGCGGAAUGCGUGGUGUAGCGGUGAAAUGCUUAGAUAUCACGAAGAACUCCGAUUGCGAAGGCAGCAUACGGGCGCGCAACUGACGCUGAAGCUCGAAGGCGUGGGUAUCGAACAGGAUUAGAUACCCGAGUAGUC